ACUCUGUUGUUAAAGUAAGAACACGUAUGAGAGUAAACUGUUCAUACGUUGACGGUAGUUUAACCUAGAAAGUCAACGGCUAACUACGUGCCAGCAGCCGCGGUAAUACGUAGGUGGCGAAGCGUUAUCCGGAUUUAUUGGGCGUAAGAGAGUGCAGGCGGUUUCGUUAAGUCUGAUGUGAAAGACUUCGGCUUAACCGGACGAAGUAGCAUCGGAAACUAGGAUAACUUAGAGUGCAGAAGAGGGUAGGUGGAACGUCCAUGUGUAGCGGUGGAAGUGCGUAGAUAUAUGGAAGGAACAACCAGUGGCGAAGGCGGCGUACCUCGGUCUGCAACUGACGCUGAGACUCGAAAGCAUGGGUAGCGAACAGGAUUAGAUACCCUGGUAG
This 388-nucleotide ribosomal RNA is filed under the name uncultured bacterium. RNAcentral describes it as "bacterial SSU rRNA". It matches the Rfam family "Bacterial small subunit ribosomal RNA", at positions 430 to 793 of the family's 1533-position model. The record is from RNAcentral.